UUUCUCCCUUUGCCCGUAAGCAGCAAUUCAAUGCUUCCCCCACUCCCUCCAACGAAACCGUACUCUCCUCCCCCCCACUCCCCACUCCCCCCUCAAUCAAUUGAAUUUAAUUUAAUAUACUCCUUCUAAUUCCCCUUUUUCCACGGCAAAGUAGUAGCAGCAGCAGCAGCAGCAGUAGCAGUGGCAGUAGCAGUACUACAACACUCUGCUUCCUCUCUCCACCCUUAUUCGCCAUUCCUCGUCCCAUUGCAUCAGGGUUUUGAGAUUUUUGAGACGGGAAAUGGAAGCGCCCGAGGAGGAGGAGGAGGAGAAGAAGAAGAAGAAGAAGAAGAAGAAGAUCCCCGUUGUGUAUUACUUGUGUCGGAAUCGACGCAUCGAGCACCCGCAUUUCAUUGAGGUGCCCCUCUCCUCCCCUGAAGGGUUGUAUCUCAGAGAUGUGAUUAAUCGCCUUAAUUUGGUGAGGGGAAAGGGAAUGCCCACCAUGUAUUCGUGGUCGUGCAAGAGGAGCUACAAGAACGGAUUCGUGUGGCACGAUCUCUCCCACGACGAUCUCGUCCUCCCCGCCAACGGAGAUGAGUAUGUUCUCAAAGGUUCUGAACUCUUAGAUCAACCCUCUUCAGAUCGGAUUCAUCCAAACAACGGGAACCCAAAACUGAAAAACCCAAAGCAACCCCCCCAGCAAGAAUCACCCAAAUUUUCUAGAUCCAAAGAAGCUCCUUUUGCUUCCUCCUCUCCUCCUACUGUUGUCGUUAGAGAAUCCAACCCUCCGCCUUCUCCUCAAGAAGAUGAAAAAGAGGAGGAAGAAGAAGAAGAAGAAGUGUCGUCUCAAGAGUACGUCUCUUCGGGUUCGGCGGAGUAUAGAGUAUACAGGCCAAUUGGUUCUUCGGACGCAGCAACUCAAACUGAUGACGAAAAUAAAAAAAGUGAUCACCACGAUAAGGAGAACGAGAAUCUCACUACGGUUGUUUCUACUGACAAUGGCUCGACGACUCUUGAUUCUAUCAAUAAUCAUGCUCGACUUUCGAAUGGUAGCAGGUCAGAGACUUUAGAGUCUUUGCUUAGGGCGGAUGCUAGAAACAAGAACAUCUUUAGAAGACUCAAAGAGGAGGAAGUGCUAAUUCCCACCGGGCCAAAGAUGAAGCCUGGUAAUAUCUUAAUGCAGCUGAUCACUUGCGGGUCUUUCACCGUGAAGGAUCACGAAAGCUAUGGUAUCGUCUCAAAUUACCAGCCAAGUUUCUCGCACAUGAAGUUCCAAUCAUCGGUAUUUGCUCGCUCGAGUAUGCUUGGAGAGCUUGAUUGCCUUUCGAAAGAUCCAAGAUUAAUGGGAUUGAAAUUGGAAGAUAAGGAGUAUUUUAGUGGUAGCUUGAUUGAAACUAAGAAGCAUCGGGAGGAUAUAGGGGAAAGGAUGCCCGUUCUGAAACGAUCUUCCUCCUACAAUGCCGAAAGAAAGUGCAGGAAGUGCAAAUUGGAGUCCAGAAGGCACGGGGAAGAGAUUGAGGACACAUCAGUUACAAGAUGCCUCCCUCGAGCUAUCAAACUUACACCUCCAAAGCAGCCCAAAAAUGAAAAAAUUACUUCUCCUAUUUCCGAUUGCCCGAGGUGCUCGUCUGUUGGGCCCGAGUGUGACCGCUCCUCAAUAGGAGAAAGCAGCAGAAGUAUCACUCAUGCUGCCUCCGUUCAUGGAUCAUCCAUGAGGUUAGAAUCCUUGAAAGAAGAAAAGGAGAAGCUUAUCAGGAUCGAGGAAAGUUAAGUCCAUUCUUUGGCUUCAAAGAAUUGUUGUUUAAGCAGAGAUGUUCGAAGAAGUACUAACAACACUUUGUUGAAUCUCCUAACCAACUUCGUGCUGUACCAGAAGCAUAUAUUUCAAAUUUGAGUCUGCUUUUCGAAUCCAAAAGAUCAUUUUAGCUACAGCAAAAGUUCUUGGUUCUUCAAGAGCCAGGCUUAUGUCGGGAGCCCGAGUUAUUAUCCAGUCAAGAAUUCCAUGCGAUGAUAGUGCAGACGGCUCUGACACCUGAUAAGCAUGAUCUUCUGAUGCUUAUAGUAUAUCCUUUCUUCAUCAAUCUCCUUGGAAGGGUUAGGUUAAAAGGAAGCAUUAUAUGAUUUGAAGAGUUGUUACAAAUCAAAUGUUGUUAUCUUUCUCGAACAUUCAUGUUAAGUUUGAUUGCUUUCUUGAAAACGGAAAACUACUAAUGUGGUCAACUUCUGGUUUGUUGCUUCCUUUGUUCUCUACAAAUUGGUCGGUGAAAGACGAAUCUUUCGUUAGCCAUAAGCAGGUUGUUUUGAUAAAACUCUUAAAUGUUUUUCUCAGAAAAAGAGAGAUAUUUUGUUA
Molecule: RNA transcript, 2329 nt
Organism: Ananas comosus (pineapple)
Lineage: Eukaryota; Viridiplantae; Streptophyta; Magnoliopsida; Poales; Bromeliaceae
Gene name: protein UPSTREAM OF FLC-like
Exons: 6
Source: RefSeq, a predicted model, not a curated record